This 24-nucleotide non-coding RNA is filed under the name Arabidopsis thaliana (thale cress). The record is from RNAcentral. Lineage: Eukaryota; Viridiplantae; Streptophyta; Magnoliopsida; Brassicales; Brassicaceae.
UCCACAAUUCCUUUCAUGCUUGUU